AACAUGCUUCCUUAGAUCCACCUUUGUGGAUGGAUCUUGAAUUGAGUUCUGCUUGUAAACUUCUUGUUUCUUGUAGUUCCAGUUCAAGAAACAUCCAGCAACUUUGUUGGUUGUACAGUCAAAGGUGCUUGAGUCAUUGGCAUGUGAGAUCAAUAUACCUGCAUGGUAGUCGCAGGUUCGGACGGAAAUGACUGCAUUAUGCUGUCAUGUGUUACCGUCAGGACUCGACUGGUGUGCGGACACU
This is a small nucleolar RNA of Microtus ochrogaster (prairie vole), 244 nucleotides long. Ensembl annotates it as predicted gene, 24119. Lineage: Eukaryota; Metazoa; Chordata; Mammalia; Rodentia; Cricetidae. The record is from Ensembl.